UUUUGCAGCCAUAUCACCCUGCAACUCACAACUGGCAACCCACUGAAGCUAAGCAGGUGUGAGCCUGGUCAGUACCUGGAGGGGAGACCUCCUGGGAAAAACUAAGGUUGCUGCUGGAA
Molecule: ribosomal RNA, 119 nt
Organism: Lepisosteus oculatus (spotted gar)
Lineage: Eukaryota; Metazoa; Chordata; Actinopteri; Semionotiformes; Lepisosteidae
Source: Ensembl